RNAcentral lists this ribosomal RNA (515 nucleotides) under uncultured bacterium. RNAcentral's name for it is "partial 16S ribosomal RNA". It matches the Rfam family "Bacterial small subunit ribosomal RNA", at positions 355 to 858 of the family's 1533-position model. The record is from RNAcentral.
UGGGGAAUAUUGCACAAUGGGCGCAAGCCUGAUGCAGCCAUGCCGCGUGUGUGAAGAAGGCCUUCGGGUUGUAAAGCACUUUCAGCGAGGAGGAAGGUGGUGAGCUUAAUACGCUCAUCAAUUGACGUUACUCGCAGAAGAAGCACCGGCUAACUCCGUGCCAGCAGCCGCGGUAAUACGGAGGGUGCAAGCGUUAAUCGGAAUUACUGGGCGUAAAGCGCACGCAGGCGGUUUGUUAAGUCAGAUGUGAAAUCCCCGGGCUCAACCUGGGAACUGCAUUUGAAACUGGCAAGCUAGAGUCUCGUAGAGGGGGGUAGAAUUCCAGGUGUAGCGGUGAAAUGCGUAGAGAUCUGGAGGAAUACCGGUGGCGAAGGCGGCCCCCUGGACGAAGACUGACGCUCAGGCUGCGAAAGCGUGGGGCAGCAAACAGGAUUAGAUACCCUGGUAGUCCACGCUGUAAACGGAUGUCGACUUUGGAGGUUGUGCCCUUGAGGCGUGGCUUCCGGAGCUAACGC